UCAGCAACGGAUCUCUUGGCUCUCGCAUCGAUGAAGAACGCAGCGAAAUGCGAUAAGUAAUGUGAAUUGCAGAAUUCAGUGAAUCAUCGAAUCUUUGAACGCACCUUGCGCUCCUUGGUAUUCCGAGGAGUACGCCUGUUUGAGUGUCAGUUGA
Molecule: ribosomal RNA, 154 nt
Filed under: Leucoagaricus sp. G60
Lineage: Eukaryota; Fungi; Basidiomycota; Agaricomycetes; Agaricales; Agaricaceae
Description: 5.8S ribosomal RNA
Rfam family: 5.8S ribosomal RNA
About the family: 5.8S ribosomal RNA (5.8S rRNA) is a component of the large subunit of the eukaryotic ribosome. It is transcribed by RNA polymerase I as part of the 45S precursor that also contains 18S and 28S rRNA.
Source: RNAcentral